GGAUGUGUUAAUCUUUAACCACUAUCUUCCUUUUCAGUUGCAAAUUUUGUUUGGAUUGUUUCAAGCUGCUUUGUUAGGGGAGGGAGGACUGGAAAACUGACAGCUUUCCUUGGCUGGUCUCCCCUUGGCCUUCAUGUGAUUUGAGAACAUGGCAUGUGAUACAUGGUUCCUUCCAGGCAAGCCUCAGUCUGAUUUGGGCUGCUUCUUUUAUACCUGUUGUUUCCUGGACACAGGGAAAUGAUGGUCCAUCCUGAAAUGGACAUAUCAAGACUUGGAGGUGGCCUUUUGAGGGAAGGUAACAUUCUCAAAUCAUGAUGCUGAAAAAGGCUAAAGUUCUAUGAGAUGAGGAACGGUUAAAAUGGAAUCGUCCUUCUACAAACUAAGUCAACCAUGGAGGGAACACAAAUGUUGGAAAAACUUAGACAAAGAAAGAACACCCUUGGCUCUCCUUGAAGACUGUCAUUAACAGUAUGUGGAAACUGAACUCUAGGACAACCGAGAACCUGAGCUUCAAAAGGGGCAAAGAGUCCAGUAAACUGACAGAACCAGGUAAGAGAUAGGACAGAAAUGACAAAGUUCCUAGUGAAAAAGAGACGGGGAACAGCAACCAAAGAGCUAG
RNAcentral lists this long non-coding RNA (619 nucleotides) under Monodelphis domestica (gray short-tailed opossum). RNAcentral describes it as "lncRNA (ENSMODG00000043530.1)". The record is from RNAcentral. Lineage: Eukaryota; Metazoa; Chordata; Mammalia; Didelphimorphia; Didelphidae.